Molecule: ribosomal RNA, 253 nt
Filed under: uncultured bacterium
Lineage: Bacteria
Description: partial 16S ribosomal RNA
Rfam family: Bacterial small subunit ribosomal RNA
Source: RNAcentral
UACGAAGGGGGCUAGCGUUGCUCGGAAUCACUGGGCGUAAAGCGCACGUAGGCGGAUCUUUAAGUCAGGGGUGAAAUCCUGGAGCUCAACUCCAGAACUGCCUUUGAUACUGGGGAUCUCGAGUCCGGAAGAGGUGAGUGGAACUCCGAGUGUAGAGGUGAAAUUCGUAGAUAUUCGGAAGAACACCAGUGGCGAAGGCGGCUCACUGGUCCGGUACUGACGCUGAGGUGCGAAAGCCAGGGGAGCGAACGGG